UGAACGCUAGCUACAGGCUUAACACAUGCAAGUCGAGGGGAAACGAUAUUGGAAGCUUGCUUCUGAUAGGCGUCGACCGGCGCACGGGUGAGUAACGCGUAUCCAACCUGCCCAUCACUUGGGGAUAACCUUGCGAAAGUAAGACUAAUACCCAAUGACGUCUCUAGAAGACAUCUGAAAGAGAUUAAAGAUUUAUCGGUGAUGGAUGGGGAUGCGUCUGAUUAGCUUGUUGGCGGGGUAACGGCCCACCAAGGCGACGAUCAGUAGGGGUUCUGAGAGGAAGGUCCCCCACAUUGGAACUGAGACACGGUCCAAACUCCUACGGGAGGCAGCAGUGAGGAAUAUUGGUCAAUGGACGAGAGUCUGAACCAGCCAAGUAGCGUGCAGGAUGACGGCCCUAUGGGUUGUAAACUGCUUUUAUAAGGGAAUAAAGUGAGUCUCGUGAGACUUUUUGCAUGUACCUUAUGAAUAAGGACCGGCUAAUUCCGUG
This 490-nucleotide ribosomal RNA is filed under the name uncultured bacterium. RNAcentral's name for it is "bacterial SSU rRNA". It matches the Rfam family "Bacterial small subunit ribosomal RNA", at positions 30 to 507 of the family's 1533-position model. The record is from RNAcentral.